Small nucleolar RNA from Paramormyrops kingsleyae, 126 nucleotides. Its record names the gene SNORD22. It matches the Rfam family "Small nucleolar RNA SNORD22". Rfam says of the family: U22 is a member of the C/D class of snoRNA which contain the C (UGAUGA) and D (CUGA) box motifs. U22 is encoded within the U22 snoRNA host gene (UHG) in mammals and has also been identified in Xenopus. Lineage: Eukaryota; Metazoa; Chordata; Actinopteri; Osteoglossiformes; Mormyridae. The record is from Ensembl.
UCUCUGUGAUGAGAACCCUGCAUGUCUUACGCUUUGUCGGAACCAGAACCUGAAAAGGUGAACCCACUGGUUCUGCCAAGGCAAGAAGGGGAUGACCUGUUGGUGUACCCAACUGUCUGAUGGGAC